UCCGAUAUGGUGUAGUGGUUAACAUUAUCGCCUCUCAUGCAGUGUUAGACAUGGUUUCGCGAUAGCCCGGGGUUCGAUUCCCCGUGUCGGAA
Molecule: transfer RNA, 92 nt
Filed under: Lentinula raphanica
Lineage: Eukaryota; Fungi; Basidiomycota; Agaricomycetes; Agaricales; Omphalotaceae
Description: tRNA-Glu
Rfam family: tRNA
About the family: Transfer RNA (tRNA) molecules are approximately 80 nucleotides in length. Their secondary structure includes four short double-helical elements and three loops (D, anti-codon, and T loops).
Source: RNAcentral